GGCCGUUUAGUUUUUUUUCUUGGGGUGAGAGCCGGGAUAGUUUGGGGACGAUGGUUAGGCCGGAGUUCCGGAAACUUUCCCUUCCGCUCUUUCCUUCUUUCGUUUUGUGUUUAGACGAGUACUCUUUUUCCUUUUCACGGUUUUUCCCACUGGGUUUUCCGUGAAAAGGUUUUAAUGAGGUUCGGCCAUUAGUCUGCUCCUUCUGUGCUUUCAAGGGUUUUUU
RNAcentral lists this long non-coding RNA (223 nucleotides) under Salvia miltiorrhiza (redroot sage). RNAcentral describes it as "long non-coding RNA (SMIL_LNC010951)". The record is from RNAcentral. Lineage: Eukaryota; Viridiplantae; Streptophyta; Magnoliopsida; Lamiales; Lamiaceae.